This 243-nucleotide ribosomal RNA is filed under the name uncultured bacterium. RNAcentral's name for it is "partial 16S ribosomal RNA". It matches the Rfam family "Bacterial small subunit ribosomal RNA", at positions 524 to 768 of the family's 1533-position model. The record is from RNAcentral.
UACGGGGGAGCAAGCGUUGUUCGGAUUUACUGGGCGUAAAGGGCGCGUAGGCGGCGUGACAAGUCACUUGUGAAAUCUCCGGGCUUAACUCGGAACGGUCAAGUGAUACUGUCGUGCUAGAGUACAGAAGGGCAACUGGAAUUCUCGGUGUAGCGGUGAAAUGCGUAGAGAUCGGGAGGAACAUCCGUGGCGAAGGCGGCCAUCUGGAUCAACACUGACGCUGAGGCACGAAAGCGUGGGGAG